AUGAAUCUGCACGUUACUGCAGAUAAGCCUCUACUUCUGCAAUUUUUUAUUCAGACAAAGGCUGGAAAGAAAACGACGUUGGGGGAAGGGAGAGAUAAGCAGGUUGGCUGCAGGGCCCAGGCGCUGCCCGGAAGGAUUCGAACCCUUUUCCAGAGUCUCCAUCAGCGCCCCCCGCCCCAUUACAAAAGCCACCGUUUACUGAGCAGUUUCCCCGCACCCACAAGGCACCCUUCUGGUCGACCUCGGGAACCCAGGAUACCCGCGGUGUCCGGAGCCUGUCCCCCACGAGCCGGCGCCCCAUCACCUCUUCCUCGCAAACCCAGAGGUGCGCAGCCAAGGCGCAGAGACCCCGGGGGAGUGGGGGGUCCGCGGCGCGGAGUCGGGGGCCGCUGGCCUGGAGGACCGAGGGCCGGCCCGGCUCAGCCCGCUCUGGAAGGCGGAGGUGCCACAUCCCCAGCCUCUCUCUGCCGCCUGCCUCCCUCCCUCGCCCGCCCGCCCGCCCGCCGCUCGGGGCCGGGAUGCGCCACGUCCCUGCCCGCCGAGGCUGCGCUCCGGCCCACUGCUCCCCUGCCCCGCGGUGCCCGCCGCCGGCCACGUAAAACGGCCGCAGAGGCGGAGCCUGCCCGCCGGCCGAGGCCCAGCGCGUCCCGAGCCCGUUACCCCCAGACCCCAAGCCCCGGACCCCGGACCGAAGCCUCGCAGGCCGGCCGCCUCGCCGGCCGUCGUGUGGGGCGCCCCGGUCUCGACCCAAGUCCCGACCCCGGAGCGCCAGCGCGGAUACCUGGCAGCACCUCCAAACCGGGCACGGGACAGGCGGCGUCGACAGCGCGGCAGCGCAACGGCGGCGCGUCACAGAGCUUAAGACGCGGCUUCCGCCCCGCCCCCCGGGACGCCCUCGCCGCCCAUUGGCUGGCGGCAGAGGGCUGGGCACCAAUCGCCGUGCGCCCGGCCUCCGCCCCGCCCCCCAGACUGCCGCGCUUCGGGGACCCCGCCUCCCACCACGGGUUCGAAAGGCUGCUCGAAUCUCCUUGGCGCGACUGUUCUGGGACGCCACCGCGUCCCUGCGCUUCCCGUGCUGGCCUGGCCCGUGCCUUUCAGUCGGUCGCUCACCUCCCGCCCUUUGCUGGCGGGAAGACGAGGCCUGAAAGGAUGAAAUGUCUGUUGGGCGCCCUUGGGGCUCGCGGAGUCUCCUGGGCCCCAGCCACGAGGGUAUGGACCACAGGCUCGAUCCCCAGCCCAGGGCUCCUUGGCCGAGCUCCCGUUCCUUGCCACGCAAAGCCUUUUGUGGGGCUCCCACCCAGCUACACCUCAGAUACGGCUGCGGGACCCCUCAAACCCUGUGAGCUUCUGAACUCACCCCCAGAAGUCAUCACGGCAGCUGGUAAACACACGGCCCACCUCCUCGUGGCACCCCGUUGUGGUGUUGCCUCAGACUCGUUAUCCAAAUUUCUGAAAAGGCUGUGGAAAAAGAGAACCACCCCCAAACACCGGAGAAUACGACCAUAUGAGACCCACCAAAAGGUGAAAAGGUAGUUCGAUCAUUUAAUGGCCAUUGAUUGGGUGCAACAUAUUCCAGUGUGAGAGGUAAAAGAUCCCCAAGAUAUGUGGAUGAAUUGGCAGAGAAAGAAAGCGAGAGACAGAGAGGAAGAAACGGGCAGGCUCUCCCAGACGGAAGAAGCAAUGACUCCAGACAAAAUGUAGCAGGUGCUAAGGGAUUAAGGUGAGGCCUUGCCUGCUAGAGGAGCUGGCCGCCCAGGCAGAGAAAAGCAAUGUGUCAGGAUUUAGUCUGGGAGGAAGUGUAAGACGUGAUAAGGAUGUGCAGGAAGAAAAUGUUAGAAAUUCUAU
Molecule: long non-coding RNA, 1845 nt
Filed under: Felis catus (domestic cat)
Lineage: Eukaryota; Metazoa; Chordata; Mammalia; Carnivora; Felidae
Description: lncRNA (ENSFCAG00000045473.2)
Source: RNAcentral